GACGAACGCUGGCGGCGUGCUUAACACAUGCAAGUCGAACGAUGAAGGCUGGAGCUUGCUCCGGCCGGAUUAGUGGCGAACGGGUGAGUAACACGUGAGUAACCUGCCCUUCACUCUGGGAUAACUACCGGAAACGGUGGCUAAUACCGGAUACGACCUUCGGAGGCAUCUCCUGAAGGUGGAAAGAACUUUGGUGAAGGAUGGACUCGCGGCCUAUCAGGUAGUUGGUGAGGUAACGGCUCACCAAGCCGACGACGGGUAGCCGGCCUGAGAGGGUGACCGGCCGACACUGGGACUGAGACACGGCCCAGACUCCUACGGGAGGCAGCAGUGGGGAAUAUUGCACAAUGGGCGCAAGCCUGAUGCAGCAACGCCGCGUGAGGGACGAAUGCCUUCGGGUUGUAAACCUCUUUCAGCAGGGACGAAGCGAAAGUGACUGUACCUGCAAAAGAGCACCGGCUAACUACGUGCCAGCAGCCGGGUAAAACCGUAGCGUG
Molecule: ribosomal RNA, 497 nt
Filed under: uncultured bacterium
Lineage: Bacteria
Description: bacterial SSU rRNA
Rfam family: Bacterial small subunit ribosomal RNA
Source: RNAcentral